This 756-nucleotide ribosomal RNA is filed under the name Triticum aestivum (bread wheat). RNAcentral describes it as "partial small subunit ribosomal RNA". Lineage: Eukaryota; Viridiplantae; Streptophyta; Magnoliopsida; Poales; Poaceae. The record is from RNAcentral.
AUGAUCCAAACUGCACAUAAGAGGAGAGUGCCGGUUAUCGCUCUUAAGUUGGACUUUCAGAAAGCUUUUGACUAUGCCAGUUGGGCCUGUCUUUUCCAGGUGAUGGAAGCUAGAGGCUUCCCCACAAAGUGGACACAGUGGAUUAAUACCCUCCUCUCUUAGGGCAGCUCUAGAGUCCUUCUUAAUGGGGAGCUAGGAGACCCCAUUAUUGCUAAGCGUGGUUUUAGGCAAGCGGAUUCUCUGUCACCGUAUCUAUUCUUGCUUGUGGCUGAUGUGCUCCAGAGAUUAUGCUUGCAUCACUUCAGGAACGACAACCUUGUACACCCACUCGAACCAAACAUCAAUGACUCAUUCCCGGUCUUGCAAUACGCGGAUGAUACUCUAAUCAUCUUCCGUGGCGAUGUGCAGCAGGCCAAUGUGAUCAGAGGCAUCCUGUCUGCUUUUUCAACGUUUUCAAGACUCAGUAUUAACUUCCACAAAAGCACCCUAGUCCCUAUAUGUGUGAAUGAGGAUGUUACCGCUGAGAUUGCAUCUCUGCUUGGGUGCCCGGUGUCCUCCUUUCCAUGCAACUACCUAGGGCUGCCUAUGUCCAUUCAUAAGAUCAAACAUGGCAUGCUACUACCAGUCAUUCACAAGGUUGGUCGCAGAUUAUCUGGUUGGCUGGCUUCGUUUCUCUCCUGGGGGGGGGGGGGUAGACUCACGCUGAUCAACUCAGUGUUAGCUGGCAUCCCUACCUACUUCAUGUCAUGCUUUUAG